Molecule: ribosomal RNA, 435 nt
Filed under: uncultured bacterium
Lineage: Bacteria
Description: partial 16S ribosomal RNA
Rfam family: Bacterial small subunit ribosomal RNA
Source: RNAcentral
AACGAACACUGGCGGCAUGCCUAACACAUGCAAGUCGAACGAUUGCCUUCGGGUGAUAGUGGCGCACGGGUGCGUAACGCGUGGGAAUCUGCCCUUAGGUUCGGAAUAACAGCUGGAAACGGCUGCUAAUACCGGAUGAUAUCGCGAGAUCAAAGAUUUAUCGCCUGAGGAUGAGCCCGCGUUGGAUUAGGUAGUUGGUGGGGUAAAGGCCUACCAAGCCGACGAUCCAUAGCUGGUCUGAGAGGAUGAUCAGCCACACUGGGACUGAGACACGGCCCAGACUCCUACGGGAGGCAGCAGUGGGGAAUAUUGGACAAUGGGCGCAAGCCUGAUCCAGCAAUGCCGUGUGAGUGAUGAAGGCCCUAGGGUUGUAAAGCUCUUUUACCCGGGAAGAUAAUGACUGUACCGGGAGAAUAAGCCCCGGCUAACUCCGUG